This 159-nucleotide transfer RNA is filed under the name Spirochaetales bacterium. RNAcentral's name for it is "tRNA-Ser". It matches the Rfam family "tRNA". From Rfam's summary of the family: Transfer RNA (tRNA) molecules are approximately 80 nucleotides in length. The record is from RNAcentral. Lineage: Bacteria; Pseudomonadati; Spirochaetota; Spirochaetia; Spirochaetales.
GGAGAGAUGCGAGAGCGGUUGAAUCGGGCGGUCUCGAAAACCGUUGCCCCGCACUCAACCCAUUAGCAAAAGCCACUGAUGGCUCAGGGUUAUUUUAUUUCACCCUGUUGAGUUUAUGCGUUGAGUGCGGGGCCGGGGGUUCGAAUCCCCCUCUCUCCG